AGUGAACGCUGGCGGUAGGCCUAACACAUGCAAGUCGAACGGCAGCACAGUAAGAGCUUGCUCUUACGGGUGGCGAGUGGCGGACGGGUGAGGAAUACAUCGGAAUCUACUUUUUCGUGGGGGAUAACGUAGGGAAACUUACGCUAAUACCGCAUACGACCUACGGGUGAAAGCAGGGGAUCUUCGGACCUUGCGCGAUUGAAUGAGCCGAUGUCGGAUUAGCUAGUUGGCGGGGUAAAGGCCCACCAAGGCGACGAUCCGUAGCUGGUCUGAGAGGAUGAUCAGCCGCACUGGAACUGAGACACGGUCCAGACUCCUACGGGAGGCAGCAGUGGGGAAUAUUGGACAAUGGGCGAAAGCCUGAUCCAGCCAUACCGCGUGGGUGAAGAAGGCCUUCGGGUUGUAAAGCCCUUUUGUUGGGAAAGAAAAGCAGCAGGUUAAUACCCCGCUGUUCUGACGGUACCCAAAGAAUAAGCACCGGCUAACUUCGUG
Molecule: ribosomal RNA, 492 nt
Filed under: uncultured bacterium
Lineage: Bacteria
Description: partial 16S ribosomal RNA
Rfam family: Bacterial small subunit ribosomal RNA
Source: RNAcentral